UACAGAGGGUGCAAGCGUUUGUUCGGAAUUAUUGGGCGUAAAGCGCGUGUAGGCGGCAUGGCAAGUCGGGUGUGAAAGCCCUCAGCUUAACUGAGGAAGUGCGCCCGAAACUGCCGUGCUUGAGUGCCGGAGAGGGUGGCGGAAUUCCCCCAAGUAGAGGUGAAAUUCGUAGAUAUGGGGGAGGAACACCGGUGGCGAAGGCGGCCACCUGGACGGUAACUGACGCUGAGACGCGAAAGCGUGGGGAGCAAACAGG
This 256-nucleotide ribosomal RNA is filed under the name uncultured bacterium. RNAcentral describes it as "partial 16S ribosomal RNA". It matches the Rfam family "Bacterial small subunit ribosomal RNA", at positions 524 to 776 of the family's 1533-position model. The record is from RNAcentral.